RNAcentral lists this transfer RNA (66 nucleotides) under Butyrivibrio sp. Its description in RNAcentral is "tRNA-Val". It matches the Rfam family "tRNA". Rfam says of the family: Transfer RNA (tRNA) molecules are approximately 80 nucleotides in length. Their secondary structure includes four short double-helical elements and three loops (D, anti-codon, and T loops). Lineage: Bacteria; Bacillati; Bacillota; Clostridia; Lachnospirales; Lachnospiraceae. RNAcentral also lists the same sequence under 2 other names. The record is from RNAcentral.
UAGCUCAGCUGGGAGAGCAUCUGCCUUACAAGCAGAGGGUCACAGGUUCGAGCCCUGUAGGUCCCA